Molecule: transfer RNA, 73 nt
Filed under: Bos taurus (domestic cattle)
Lineage: Eukaryota; Metazoa; Chordata; Mammalia; Artiodactyla; Bovidae
Also listed under: 5 other names
Rfam family: tRNA
About the family: Transfer RNA (tRNA) molecules are approximately 80 nucleotides in length. Their secondary structure includes four short double-helical elements and three loops (D, anti-codon, and T loops).
Source: Rfam by way of RNAcentral
UCCCAGGCAGUCCAGUGGUUAAGACUCUGCACUUCCAAGGCAGAGGGUGCAGGUUUGAUUCCUGUUUGGGGAA